CACUCAAAGAAAGAAAGUACAUCUCUGCAUUUUUGAUUUUGUGAUUCUGCAUAGCUAUACCAUUAAUGAUACUACUAUUGAUUAGAUGUACUGUGAAUUAGUAAUGAUACCAAAUCGCCUUCCAGUAGAACACACAUUAUCUUCCGUUACUUAAAAAUUUAAAUAAACGUUAUAUUUCUUAAAUAACCUAAACAAAAUUCUAUUAUGGACAAAAAUAAAGCAACUGUAAAAAUCACCAGCACUUCAAAGUAUUGCACAAAAUGAGAUGCAGGUGAUAAAGUUCUGCAAAUCAACCAAUAAUGUGUUAAAGAUCCUGCACUGUAGUUACACAUAUUGAACAUAAACAAUGCAAAGAAAUUCCCGUACAAAUAUAUGAAAACGCAUAAUAAUGAUCACAAUAACAGAUCAUAUUUCUUAGAUUGCCUAAAAAGAUACUACCAUGGGCACAAAGACAAAUGCCACUGUAAAAAUAACCAGCAGUCAGUGUGUUACUCCAUAUACAAGUAUCGCCCAAAAGAAAAUAUUUUCCCCAUUUAUUAGUCUUCUGUGAAAGAUGUGGUGGCAGCUUCUUCUAUCCUGUCUUAAAUGAAGAAUAAAAUCCUCUUAAGGACCUCUGCUAACAACCUCUCAUCUUAUCUGACAAGGCUGGCCAGAGAGCAGUGUCAGUGAUGCUACCAUAGUGGAUUAAUUUGUAGCAGGCUGUGCUCCAGUUGUACAUAAUGUAGAGGUGGAGGUCUCUCCAUCAGGAUAUGGUGUGAAAGGUGCGCAAUGGGCAAGUGGUAUAAUUUCUGUACCUGCAAGCAAAGACAGACAUACUCAUUGUAUUUGUUGCUCUGAAAUAUACUCUGGAUCUGUGAAAACUGCAUUUAACUAAUUCCAUUACUGUCUGAGGUCAAUUACAUAUCCGUAUAAUAUCUCAUAUUUUUAUUUAAAACUACAACCAAUUUAUGUCCAUGACUAAUUCUAAUUUAUCGAGUCAGAGAGAGGUAAACUGCAGGUAGCCCAUCCAUCACCAGCUGCAGCAGAUGGGCUGUCAUCUCCCCAUGCAAAACUAUCUAUUAUGUCUAUCUAUUACACCUUGACUGAAGCAACAACCCACUGUGUAGCGUUUAAUCGGCCCUAUGGAGUAUACAUUCAGUUAUUCAUUUUGUUGCUUAACAGUCAUGCUUUCGACCUGAACCGAUGUAGACAUCUCAGCUGAGGUCACUCUGCUGUCCAGGAUAUGAAAUGGCUAGGGAAAGGGACAGGUCAUCAGCUGGCUGCUAGUUAAGCUUAAACAAUUGGCUUUUCUUGACGCUAGUAAUGGCGUCAUUAUACAUAUCACUAGUUAACAAUGCUAAUAUCAAACAAAGCAGCAAGCUGCGAUUCAUGCUGCUUUUAGUAUUAACUUUUAUAGUAGCUAUCUGACAUGCCUAAAAUAAUUCACUGGCAGCUAACAAGCUUACAUUUCAUUUGUGCUUUGAGCUGUGCAUGUUAUUCUUUCACUUUAACUAGCUCAGUUCCGUGUCACUUUUUUUGUUGUUGACUGAUUGUAAGUAUACUCAGCUGCAUCAGGAGGCAUCAUGGUCUGUGUCAAUUAAUAAAUCCUGUUUAAAACUG
Molecule: long non-coding RNA, 1599 nt
Organism: Scatophagus argus
Lineage: Eukaryota; Metazoa; Chordata; Actinopteri; Scatophagidae
Exons: 2
Source: RefSeq, a predicted model, not a curated record